GACGAACGCUGGCGGCGUGCUUAACACAUGCAAGUCGAACGGAAAGGUCCUGCUUUUGUGGGUUGCUCGAGUGCCGAACGGGUGAGUAACACGUGAGUAACCUGCCCUUGACUUUGGGAUAACUUCAGGAAACUGGGGCUAAUAUCGGAGAGGAGCUCCUGCUGCAUGGUGGGGGAUGGAAAGAUUCGGCGGUUGGGGAUGGACUCGCGGCUUAUCAGCUUGUUGGUGUGGUAGUGGCUUACCAAGGCUUUGACGGGUAGCCGGCCUGAGAGGCUGACCGGCGACAUUGGGACUGAGAUACGGCCCAGACUCCUACGGGAGGCAGCAGUGGGGAAUAUUGCACAAUGGGCGGAAGCCUGAUGCAGCAACGCCGCGUGCGGGAUGACGGCCUUCGGGUUGUAAACCGCUUUCGCCUGUGACGAAGCGUGAGUGACGGUAAUGGGUAAAGAAGCACCGGCUAACUACGUG
RNAcentral lists this ribosomal RNA (468 nucleotides) under uncultured bacterium. RNAcentral's name for it is "partial 16S ribosomal RNA". It matches the Rfam family "Bacterial small subunit ribosomal RNA", at positions 28 to 507 of the family's 1533-position model. The record is from RNAcentral.